This 468-nucleotide ribosomal RNA is filed under the name uncultured bacterium. Its description in RNAcentral is "partial 16S ribosomal RNA". It matches the Rfam family "Bacterial small subunit ribosomal RNA", at positions 28 to 507 of the family's 1533-position model. The record is from RNAcentral.
GACGAACGCUGGCGGCGUGCUUAACACAUGCAAGUCGAACGGAAAGGCCCUGCUUUUGUGGGGUGCUCGAGUGGCGAACGGGUGAGUAACACGUGAGUAACCUGCCCUUGACUUUGGGAUAACUUCAGGAAACUGGGGCUAAUACCGGAUAGGAGCUCCUGCUGCAUGGUGGGGGUUGGAAAGUUUCGGCGGUUGGGGAUGGACUCGCGGCUUAUCAGCUUGUUGGUGGGGUAGUGGCUUACCAAGGCUUUGACGGGUAGCCGGCCUGAGAGGGUGACCGGGGACCAUGGGACUGAGAUACGCCCCAGACUCCUACGGGAGGCAGCAGGCGGGAAUAUUGCACAAUGGGCGGAAGCCUGAUGCAGCAACGCCGCGUGCGGGAUGACGGCCUUCGGGUUGUAAACCGCUUUCGCCUGUGACGAAGCGUGAGUGACGGUAAUGGGUAAAGAAGCACCGGCUAACUACGUG